Corticium candelabrum is the source of this 575-nucleotide long non-coding RNA. RefSeq lists it as uncharacterized. The record is from RefSeq and is a predicted model, not a curated record. The transcript is spliced from 3 exons. NCBI's taxonomy places the organism in Eukaryota, Metazoa, Porifera, Homoscleromorpha, Homosclerophorida, Plakinidae.
CCAAACAAGAUAUGAAAAUGGGUACGAUCUGCUUCACGAUGACCGAUAUAACAAGUGGGUUCAAGAAGCACAACCCGAUAAGACAGUCAUUGCUCAAGCUCGUCAAGCUACCACACCUUUGAAAGUACGGUUCCUUCCUGCAAUACUAGAAGCUUCCAAGAUCCGCCAAACUCCCAAAAGCAAAGUGCUGACAAGUGAAGAGAAUCUAACAGAACUCCAAAAGAAGAUACAGAAGAAAGAGAAAGAAACUAGAGAGAAGCAGCAAAGACGAGAAGAGAGAGAAGAAGAAAGCUAGAGAGAAAAAGGAGAAAUCAGCAAAACAACAAACAAUGCAAGAAGAAGCACUAUCUACACCUGUGCCAACCACCAAACCAAAGCCACCAAAACCAAACCAUCUGAGAAAUCCUUAAUCUGUUCAUCAGCAGUGUAAGAGCAUGGCACAUGGCAAACAAAGGAAAAAGAGAGGAGGAAGACUAGACCCAGCACUGUCGAUAUGUGAGCUAGGCAUAUGCAACCAUCCCAAAUCAGAAGACUGGAUCAUUUGCUACAACUGCCACCAUGCCUGGCACAGUGAU